GAUGAACGCUGGCGGCGUGCUUAACACAUGCAAGUCGAACGCACCUUCGGGUGAGUGGCGGACGGGUGAGUAACGCGUGGGAACCUGCCCUCAGGAGGGGGAUAACGGCUGGAAACGGCCGCUAAUACCCCAUAUGCCGAGAGGUGAAAUGAAAUUCGCCUGAGGAUGGGCCCGCGUCUGAUUAGCUAGUUGGUGGGGUAAGAGCCUACCAAGGCGACGAUCAGUAGCUGGUCUGAGAGGAUGAUCAGCCACACUGGGACUGAGACACGGCCCAGACUCCUACGGGAGGCAGCAGUGGGGAAUUUUCCGCAAUGGGCGAAAGCCUGACGGAGCAACGCCGCGUGAGGGAUGAAGGCCUCUGGGCUGUAAACCUCUUUUCUCAAGGAAGAAGAACUGACGGUACUUGAGGAAUAAGCCACGGCUAAUUCCGUGCCAGCAGCCGCGGUAAUACGGGAGUGGCAAGCGUUAUCCGGAAUUAUUGGGCGUAAAGCGUCCGCAGGUGGCCUUGUAAGUCUGUCGUUAAAGCGUGGAGCUUAACUCCAUUUCGGCGAUGGAAACUACAAGGCUAGAGUGUGGUAGGGGCAGAGGGAAUUCCCGGUGUAGCGGUGAAAUGCGUAGAUAUCGGGAAGAACACCAGUGGCGAAGGCGCUCUGCUGGGCCAUCACUGACACUCAUGGACGAAAGCCAGGGGAGCGAAAGGGAUUAGAUACCCCUGUAGUCCUGGCCGUAAACGAUGAACACUAGGUGUCGGGGGAAUCGACCCCCUCGGUGUCGUAGCCAACGCGUUAAGUGUUCCGCCUGGGGAGUACGCACGCAAGUGUGAAACUCAAAGGAAUUGACGGGGGCCCGCACAAGCGGUGGAGUAUGUGGUUUAAUUCGAUGCAACGCGAAGAACCUUACCAGGGUUUGACAUCCUGCGAAUCCCUUGGAAACGAGGGAGUGCCUUCGGGAGCGCAGAGACAGGUGGUGCAUGGCUGUCGUCAGCUCGUGUCGUGAGAUGUUGGGUUAAGUCCCGCAACGAGCGCAACCCACGUCGUUAGUUGCCAGCAUUCAGUUGGGCACUCUAGCGAGACCGCCGGUGAUAAACCGGAGGAAGGUGUGGAUGACGUCAAGUCAUCAUGCCCCUUACAUCCUGGGCUACACACGUACUACAAUGCUACGGACAAAGGGCAGCGAGCUCGCGAGAGUAAGCAAAUCCCAUAAACCGUGGCUCAGUUCAGAUCGUAGGCUGCAACUCGCCUACGUGAAGGAGGAAUCGCUAGUAAUCGCAGGUCAGCAUACUGCGGUGAAUACGUUCCCGGGCCUUGUACACACCGCCCGUCACACCAUGGAAGUUGGCCACGCCCGAAGUCGUUACUCCAACCCUUGUGGAGGAGGACGCCGAAGGUGGGGCUGAUGACUGGGGUGAA
Molecule: ribosomal RNA, 1409 nt
Filed under: Merismopedia sp. CENA106
Lineage: Bacteria; Bacillati; Cyanobacteriota; Cyanophyceae; Synechococcales; Merismopediaceae
Description: bacterial SSU rRNA
Rfam family: Bacterial small subunit ribosomal RNA
Source: RNAcentral